Molecule: long non-coding RNA, 5297 nt
Organism: Orcinus orca (killer whale)
Lineage: Eukaryota; Metazoa; Chordata; Mammalia; Artiodactyla; Delphinidae
Exons: 2
Source: RefSeq, a predicted model, not a curated record
CUGCUCGCAGGCGUAUCCCUUCUCCUCCCCGCCAGUGCGCAGGCGCAACCCACCCCUCCCGGGCCCCACCCGCAGGCACACACAGCCCAGCGGCUAGGUGCCGACACCCGCCCACGGGGACCGCGCCGCACAUAGACAAAAGAGGAAGAGGCAACUUAAGAACGAAUGUACAAGAUGCAGUAAAAAUGAAUUGCUUGGGCUUCCCUGGUGGCGCAGUGGUUAAGAAUACACCUGCCAAUGCAGGGGACACGGGUUUGAGCCCUGGUCCAGGAAGAUCCCACAUGCCGCGGAGCAACUAAGCCCAUGCGCCCCAACUACUGAGCCUGUGCUCUAGAGCCCCUGAGCCACAACUACCAAAGCCCAUGAGCCUAGAGCCUGUGCUCUACAACAAAAGAAGCCACUGCAAUGAGAAGCCCACACAUGGCAACGAAGAGCAGCCCCUGCUCGCCGCAACUAGAGAAAGCCCGCGUGCAGCAACGAAGACCCAACACAGCCAAAAAUAAAUAAAUAAAAAUUUUAAAAAAAAUGAAUUGCUUGAUAUCCACUACUUCAUGUAUAUCAAGCACAGCAGUAAAACAAAAAAAACACCAUAUAUUUAAUUUUUUCUUAAGUUUUUUUUUGCUUUUGUGAUUUUUUUUGAUGCUUGACUAACGUGCUGUAAAAAUAGUUAACAUGGAACUUGAGAUGAUGGCUUUUUUAAUGUCUUAUGAGAUUUUCAUGAACAAUUCAAGCAUAAUUGUUAAGAACACGUGUAUUAAGUUCAUGUUAAGUGGAAAAAAAGUUUUAUGGACAAAAAAAAAAAGAUGCACAAUUAGGAUACUAUUCUCACUCGCCAAUACAUUAUCCUCCUCCCUUUAGGUGCACAGAUGGACACACCAGAAUGUCUCCCAACUGAAGCACACUUACAAUGUUUUCAGAUUUUUGCUACAACAACCACAUACCACAUACUAGCAGACCUUAUAAGAAAUACCAAAGGAGGUUCUUCAAGCAGAAAGGAAGUGAUCCCAGACAAUAAUGCAAAUCCACAUGAAAGAACAGUAAAGGUAAUUAUGUAAUUACAAAAAACACUACAAAUGCAAUAUGUUUUCCUGUCUUCUCAACUGGUUUAAAAAGGGGUUGUAUAAAACCAUACUUAUAUUUAAAUAUUAAAAAUAUAUAUAGUUGUAAAUACAUAUAAAUAAUUGUAUUGUUUGGCCUGUAACACAGAAAUGUAAUAUAUUUGCCAAUAAUGGCACAAAGAAGGUUGGGGGAGUAAAAUUGUAUUGGGCUAAUAAGGAAAUGACUGUAGAUGGUAACUUCAAUCCACAGGAAGAAUUCAAAUGAAGAGAACCAGUAAUGAGCAAUAAGAAGGCCAAUAUAACAAAAACUAGAAAUAUGUAACUGCUCUCCUUUCUUCUGUCAGCUUCCUUAAAAGACAAAUUAUAUAAAGUAAUAAUUACAUUGUAUUACAUUAUUGGGUUUGUACCACAUACAGAGGUACUACUUUACAUAACAAAAACCUCCUAUGUAGAGAGGUACAUAGGAGUAACUUAAUCUCACUGAAAUUAAGUUAUUGUAUCUAAAGGAAAACUUAAAAAGUUAAUAUGUACAAGGUAAGGCCUAGAGAAACCACUAGGAAAAUAAUUCCCCAAAAUGCAGUGCAAAAAAACCAUUAAAAUUAAAUGUUAUACUAAAGAAAUACUUAAUACAAAGAAAGCAGUAAAGCGUGAAUAGAAGAAUGAUGUAAAUCUAAUAAUAUCAACAAUAAUGGUAAAUGUGAAUGAAUUAAACAAUCCAGUCAAAAGACAGAGACUGUCAAACUGGAUAGAAAAACAAGAUCAAAUUAUAUGCUAUUCAUAGGAGAUACACUUUAGAUCCAAUAGAUUCAAUAAAUAGAAAUGAAAAGGAUGGGAAAAGAUAUACAAUCAUCAAGCAUAAGAAAAAUGAACUGGCUAUACUAAUAGCAGACAAAAUAGAGUGUUAAAACAAAAAUGUUACUAAGACAGAAAGGGACAUUUUAUAAGGAUAAAGGGUCACUCCAUCAGGAGGAUAUAACAAUUCUAAGUAUAGAUGCACCUAACAACAGAGCACCAAAAUACAUAAGACAAAACCCGACAGAAAUAAAGGGAGAAACAGACAAUUCAACAAUAGCUGAUAUCCCACUGUCAAUAAUGCAUAGAACAACUUGGCAGAAGACCAACAAGGAAAUAAAAGGCUUGAACAACACUAUAAAACCAAACAAGCAUAACAGGUAUCUAUAGAACACUCCACACAGCAAGAGCAGAAAAUCCAUUCUUUUCAAAUGCACAAGGCACAGCAUAGGCCAUACACUAGGCCAUAGAACAAACUUCAGUAAAUUAAAAGGACUGAAAUAAUAGAAUGUAUAUUCUCUGACCACACAGAAUAAAAUUAGAAAUCAGUAACAGAAAGGAAUUUGGGAAAUUCAGAAAUAUGUGAAAAUUAAAUGACACACUGCUGAAUAACUAGUGGGUCUAAGAAAAAGAAAUCAGAGGGAAAUUAGAAAAUAACCUGAGAUGAGUGAAAAUGAGGACGUGACAUGCCAAAAGUUAUGGGAUACAGUGAAAGCAGUACUCAGAGAAAAAAUUAUAGCUAUAAAUGCCUACAUUAAAAUAGAAAAAAACCGGGCUUCCCUGGUGGCGCAGUGGUUGAAAGUCCGCCUGCCGAUGCAGGGGACACGGGUUCGUGCCCCGGUCCAGGAAGAUUCCACAUGCCACGGAGCGGCUGGGCCCGUGAGCCAUGGCCGCUGAGCCUGUGCAUCCGGAGCCUGUGCUCCGCAACGGGAGAGGCCACAGCAGUGAGAGGCCCGCGAACCGCAAAAAAAAAAAGAAAAAGAAAAAGAAAAAAACCUAAGCAAGCAGAAUAUUGGAGUAGAAAUUAAUGAAGCAGAGGACAGAAAAACAGAAGAGGAAAAAAAAAAAUCAAUGAAGCCAUAAGUUUAUUCUUUUUAAAGAUCAACAAAAUUAACAAACCUUAACAAGACUGACCAAGAAAAAAACAAGACUCAAAUUACCAGUCAAAAAUGAAAGAAGGGGGGGCUUCCCUGGUGGCGCAGUGGUUGGGGGUCCGUCUGCCGAUGCAGGGGACGUGGGUUCGUGCCCCAGUCCGGGAGGAUCCCACAUGCCGCGGAGUGGCUGGGCCCGUGAGCCGUGGCCGCUGGGCCUGCGCGUCCGGAGCCUGUGUUCCGCGGCGGGAGAGGCCACAGCGGUGAGAGGCCAGCGAACCGCAAAAAAAAAAAAAAAAAAAAAAAGAAAGAAGGGGACUACUGACAUUACAGAAAUAAAAAGGAUUAUAAUGGAACACUAGAAAUAAAUGUAUGCUAAUAAAUUGGAUAAUAGAUGAAACAGACAUAUUUCUAGAAAGACACAAACUACUGAAACUGACUCAAGAAGAAAUAGAGGGAGUUCCCUGGUGUUCCAGUGGUUAGGACCACUUGGCACCUUCACUGCUGGAGCCCAGGUUCAAUCCCUGGCCCGGGAAGUAAGGUCCUGAAAGAUGCAUGGUGCAGCCAAAGAAAGAAGAAACAGAAAAUCUAAAUAGACCAAUAACAAGUAAAGAAAUAGAAUUAGCAAUGAAAAAAAAAGCAGCUACCCACAAAGAAAAGCCCAGGUCCAGAUGGCUUCAGGGGCAAAUUCUACCAAUUUAAUACCAAUUCUUCACAUACUUCCAAACAAAAGGAGGGAAAACUUCCCAACUCAUUUUUUGAGGCCAGUAUUACUUUGAUACCAAAACCAAAGACAUCACAAAAAAACACAGAUGAAUUAUCUCUUAUGAAUACAGAUGCAAAAAUUCUCAACAAAACAUCAGCAAAGCCAAUCCAACAACAUAUAAAAAAAUUAUACACCAUGACCAAGUAGGAUUUUUCCCAGGAACACCAAGCGUGGCUUAACAACCCAAGUUAAUGUAAUAUACCAUACGAAUAGAAUAAAAAACAAAAGCCACAUGAGCAUCUCAAUAAAUGCAGAAAAAGCAUUUGACAAAAUCCAAUAUCCUUCCAGAAUAAAAACACUCAACAAGAUACGAAUAGAAGGGAAUUCAGCAACCAGAAAAAGGGCACCUAUGAAAAAUCCACAGCUAACAUCGUACUUAAUGGUCAAAGACCGAUGCUUCCUCCCCUACCAAGAUCAGGAACAAGAAGAUACUUCUCUUCAAAACUGUGUUGGAUGUUCUAGCCAGGGCAAUUAAAGAAGAAAAAAAAAAAUUAAACGGCAUCCAGAUUGGAAAGGAAGUAGUUAAACUAUCUCUAUUUGCAGAUAACUGAUCUUAUAUACAGAAAAUGCUAAGGAAUCCACUAAACUAUCAGAAUUAAUAAACAACUUCAGUGAAGUUACGGGAUAAAAUAUCAACAUACAAAUAUCAAUUGUAUUUUGAUACACAUACAAAGAACAACCCAGAAAUGGAAUUAAAGAACACAAUUCCAUUUAUAAUAGUAUCAAAAGAAUAAAAUACUUAGGAAUAAAUUAAGAGCCCCAAAAGUGCAAAACUUAUACACUGGAAACUAUAAAACACUGUUGAAAGAAAUUAAAGAAGAUCUAAAUAAAUGCAAAGGCACCCCAUAUUUACAGACUGGAAGACUUAAUACUGCUGAGAUGGCAACACGCUUCAAAUUGAUACAGAAAUUGAAUAUAGUCCUAUCAGAAUAACAGCUGGCUUCUUUGUAGAAACUGACAUGCUGGUCCUAAAAUUCUUGGAAGCUCAAAGGCACAAUCUUGAAAAAAAAGGAACAAAAGUUAGAGGAGUCACACUUUCCGAUUCUUAAUCUUACUAUGAAGCUAAAGUGUGGUAAUGGCAUAAGAAUAUAGAGAACAAAAGAAUAAAGAGUCCAGAAAUAAAUCCAUGUAGCUAUGGUCAACUGCUUUUUGACAAGGGUGCCAUAGUGAAAAUGAGAAAAAACAGUCACAGGGAAAAAGUAGUUUCUUCUACAAAUGGUGCUGGGACAACUGGAAAAUCACAUGGAAUAGAAUGAAGUUGAACCUUACCUUAUACCAUAUACAAAAAUUAACUAAAAUGCAUCAAAGAUCCAAAAUUAUAGGAGCCGAAACUGUAAAAUUCUUAUUGUAAGAAAACAUAGGGGGGCUUCCCUGGUGGCGCAGUGGUUGGGGGUCCGCCUGCCGAUGCAGGGGACGCGGGUUCGUGCCCCGGUCCGGGAAGAUCCCACAUGCCGCGGAGCAGCUGGGCCCGUGAGCCAUGGCUACUGAGCCUGUGCGUCCGGAGCCUGUGCUCCGCAACAGGAGAGGCCACAGCAGUGAGAGGCCCCCCGCGUAUCGCAAAAAAAGAAAAAAAAAAAAAGAGAAAGAAAA